Molecule: ribosomal RNA, 456 nt
Filed under: Calliostomatidae sp. SW-2012
Lineage: Eukaryota; Metazoa; Mollusca; Gastropoda; Trochida; Calliostomatidae
Description: partial 16S ribosomal RNA
Rfam family: Bacterial large subunit ribosomal RNA
Source: RNAcentral
CAUAAUCAUUUGCCUUUUAAUUGUAGGCUUGUAUGAAUGGUUUGACGAGAGCUAAGCUGUCUCUUUUGGAAUAUUUAAAAUUUAAUUUUUAGGUGAAGAAGCCUAAAUUUAAUUGAGGGACAAGAAGACCCUGUUGAGCUUUAGUAAUAUGGUGUAAGAAAAUCAGUUAAUAGUUGAUUUAGUAUUUUUACAAAAUUAAGAUGCCAUUAAUCUUUAGUUGGGGCGACUGAGGAGCAUGAAAAGCUUCCUUUAAAGUAAGAUAUAUUAUAAAGGUAGUCAGACUAGAGUGGAUCCAGUGUUACUACUGAUUAAAGGAAAAAGUUACCACAGGGAUAACAGCGUAAUCUUUCUGGAGAGAUCUUAUCGAAAGGAGGGUUUGCGACCUCGAUGUUGGACUAGGAUAUCCCAAGGGUGUAGAAGCUCUUGACGGUUGGUCUGUUCGACCAUUAAAAUCCU